GGGAUGUCCCCACGAGGUGACCCCAAGGAGGUGGCUUCGAGGAGGUGGCCUCCAUGGAAGGUGUCCCCAAGGAGGUGGCCUCCAUGGGGACGUCCCCAUGGGGUGGCCUUGAUGGGUUGGCCUUGAUGGGGUGGCCCCAAGGAGGUGGCCCCAAGGGACGUCCCCAUGGGGUGUCACCAAAGGGAUGUCCCCAAGGAGGUGGCUUCGAGGAGGUGGCCUCCAUGGAAGGUGUCCCCAAGGAGGUGGCCUCCAUGGGGACGUCCCCAUGGGGUGUCACCAAAGGGAUGUCCCCAAGGAGGUGGCCUCCAUGGAGGUGACCCCAUUGAGGUGGCUUCAAGGAGGUGGCCCCAAGGGACAUCCCCAUGGGGUGUCACCAAAGGGGUGACCCCAAGGAGGUGUCCCCAAGGGAUGUCCCCACGAGGUGACCCCAAGGAGGUGGCUUCAAGGAGGUGGUGGCCUCCACGGGAUGUCCCCAAGGAGAUGUCCCUCAACGAGGAGCGGGUCCCUUGGGGGUGUCCCCCCUCCCUUUU
This 530-nucleotide long non-coding RNA is filed under the name Calidris pugnax (ruff). RNAcentral's name for it is "lncRNA (ENSCPUG00000004319.1)". Lineage: Eukaryota; Metazoa; Chordata; Aves; Charadriiformes; Scolopacidae. The record is from RNAcentral.